ACGCUCGACACCUACUGGAGGCAGCAGUGGGGAAUAUUGCACAAUGGGGGAAACCCUGAUGCAGCGACGCCGCGUGAGCGAAGAAGUAUUUCGGUAUGUAAAGCUCUAUCAGCAGGGAAGAAGAAAGACGGUACCUGACUAAGAAGCCCCGGCUAACUACGUGCCAGCGGCAGCGGUAAGUCUGAGCGGGCUGGCAAGGC
Molecule: ribosomal RNA, 200 nt
Filed under: uncultured bacterium
Lineage: Bacteria
Description: partial 16S ribosomal RNA
Rfam family: Bacterial small subunit ribosomal RNA
Source: RNAcentral